RNAcentral lists this transfer RNA (74 nucleotides) under Candidatus Hinthialibacteria bacterium OLB16. RNAcentral describes it as "Omnitrophica bacterium OLB16 tRNA-Cys". It matches the Rfam family "tRNA". From Rfam's summary of the family: Transfer RNA (tRNA) molecules are approximately 80 nucleotides in length. The record is from RNAcentral. Lineage: Bacteria; Candidatus Hinthialibacterota. RNAcentral also lists the same sequence under 13 other names.
GGCGACGUGGCCAAGUGGUAAGGCAGGGGCCUGCAAAGCCCUUAUCCCCGGUUCGAAUCCGGGCGUCGCCUCCA